RNAcentral lists this long non-coding RNA (1377 nucleotides) under Phoenix dactylifera (date palm). RNAcentral's name for it is "long non-coding RNA (PDAC_LNC012377)". The record is from RNAcentral. Lineage: Eukaryota; Viridiplantae; Streptophyta; Magnoliopsida; Arecales; Arecaceae.
UAAACCUUAAUCAUGAGAGUCCCCUAUAUAUAGGGCCCAAACAAGAACAAUUAAUAUAAAACCCCUUACACAAAAAUAAUUCCUAAUAAAGCCCAAAAUAACAUAAGUAAAGUCCUUCAACAAUAAAAUACAAACAAGCCAAGAAAUAAAAUAAAAUGCAAAUAAGAUGAUGGACUAGACGGGCGGAUGAUCAGCUCAGAUGUCCCCAUCACAAUAUAUGCCUUUGUAAUUAUCAUUGAUUAAACCAUGUCUAUAUGUUGACAUGUGAUUGUUAUAUUCUGAGAGGUUAGUAGGUCCAUUUUCGUUGAUAUUUAUAUUGUUUAGCCAUUCUAUGUUGGCUGAGAUGGGUGAUGGAAAUUGUCAAGUUAAGAUCUGACCGGUCACCUGCAAAAUAGGUUGUUUGUCCAAAAUGAUCUGCAGAUUGCUUGGCUGUGUAUCGGUAACCAUACAUUCCUCAAGACAGUAAUCCACCUCCACCAUGCAUUAGGUUGCAGGUCAGAUCAUCUCCAGAGUACUGCUAGCCCAGUCCACAAGCAUGCAUGCGCAUAGGACACCCUAAGAGCAAACACCGAGCAACCCCUCAAGGACCACACACGGUCUGCAGUCCGCUAUGGUCCCAAAAAAAAAAAAAUUUCUUGAUGCAAGUGGGAUGAACCUUUAGGUAGGCCAAAUUAAAUUAAAAGUGCCCACUAAAAGGGAUUGCCCCAAGAUUCAUACAAGGGAUUACACUCACCUAACCCAGGUGGAGAGCAUAGACACCCAUUCCAAGGUGUGUAUUCAGGUCUCAAGUCAAAUAGGAUCAACUUAGAUGACCUCAAAGUCCAACUAAAUGGUGGGAAGGAUAGGUCUAAUUGGUCCAAUAAGAGUUAAAAGAGUUUAAUUGAAGAUAUGCUCACGUUAAGUUCAUCAUUACAUGGAACCAAUUCCUAAUAUUGUGUCACAUUAGCAAAAAUUUAAUUUUAUUCCAUUUAAGCAUAUGGUUCUAGGAUUUAUUAACCAUUUAAGUAUUAAACUUAGUUAACACAAAAAGGAUUAUAGUCAAUAAAUUUACUAGUUUGCUGCUAUGGGCAUUAGGACGGCAUACUAACCAGUCUUCCCUUACAUUCAUGUCAAAUCUAAAAUGGCUUUUAAUUCAUUAAAUUUGGACAAAAUUUCGGCAGCAUAUCCCUUUAGAUAUCUGUAAGUAAGAGCAUGGAGUAGGAGAAUAAGGCAGAAAGGACAUAAGAAAGUGGGACAGCUUGCUGAAAUUUCUGCAGAGAUUUUCCUCUAAUUUCUUUUGGCUCUAAUCUCUCUCUGACAUAGAGAGAAUUGGGCUUAUAUUAAGCCCGUAGCAGCUGUCUGGGCAGCUGUCAACCCUUAGAAGAAAUGGCUUAUUUU